This is a long non-coding RNA of Pocillopora verrucosa, 365 nucleotides long. RefSeq lists it as uncharacterized. Lineage: Eukaryota; Metazoa; Cnidaria; Anthozoa; Scleractinia; Pocilloporidae. The record is from RefSeq and is a predicted model, not a curated record.
UAACGCGAAGCAGUAACAAAAGAGGAGCAGAAAUUGACGAAUGUAAACAAGGGAGAAGGCAGUGUACAAGAACUGAUACCGUGAGAAUAUUGUGAGGGGGAUAUGGUCAAGGAAGGGAGGGUCCCCUCUUAAAAUAAACGUGAUGUCAGGCUCAGUCAAGGAAGCCACUUCUUUCAGACAGUCAUUUCUUAACUUGGAAAAAAGAUGCCUGGUUACUCAAUGCGCACAGCUGUUACUAAAAGUAGACAACAAAGACGAAGAAAUAAAACAAAACAAAACAACGGCGAGGAAGAUAGGCCUUCGCGAAGAGAAGAGGAAACCUAUGCGUGAUGAAGAAAUCUUUGCAAACUAUUUUCGUGCGCUUC